Molecule: ribosomal RNA, 228 nt
Filed under: uncultured bacterium
Lineage: Bacteria
Description: partial 16S ribosomal RNA
Rfam family: Bacterial small subunit ribosomal RNA
Source: RNAcentral
CAUGUAGGCGGUUAAGUAAGUCUGAUGUGAAAGCACACAGCUCAACUGUGAUGUUGCGUUGGAAACUGCUUGACUUGAAUCCGAGAGGGGUGUGUGGAAUUCCUAGUGUAGGGGUGAAAUCUGUUGAUAUUAGGAAGAACACCAGAGGCGAAGGCGACACACUGGCUCUGGAUUGACGCUGAGAUGCGAAAGCGUAGGUAGCGAACAGGAUUAGAUACCCUGGUAGUC